CCUUCGAUAGUUCAGUUGGUAGAGUGGAGGUCUGUAGUUCUUGCCAGUAUAGUCAUAUCGCAUUGCUGGUUCAAUUCCAGC
RNAcentral lists this transfer RNA (81 nucleotides) under Cervus elaphus hippelaphus. RNAcentral's name for it is "tRNA-Tyr". The record is from RNAcentral. Lineage: Eukaryota; Metazoa; Chordata; Mammalia; Artiodactyla; Cervidae.